GGAGUCAUUACAGGUUGGUCCACAUCUACCUGUCUACUGGAGUCAUUACAGGUUGGUCCACAUCUACCUCCAUACUGGAGUCAUUACAGGUUGGUCCACAUCUACCUGUCUACUGGAGUCAUUACAGGUUGGUCCACAUCUACUGGAGUCAUUACAGGUUGGUCCACAUCUACCUCUCUACUGGAGUCAUUACAGGUUGGUCCACAUCUACCUCCAUACUGGAGUCAUUACAGGUUGGUCCACAUCGACCUCUCUACUGGAGUCAUUACAGGUUGGUCCACAUCUACCUCUCUACUGGAGUCAUUUCAGGUUGGUCCACAUCUACCUCUCUACUGGAGUCAUUACAGGUUGGUCCACAUCUACCUCCCUACUGGAGUCAUUACAGGUUGGUCCACAUCUACCUCUCUACUGGAGUCAUUACAGGUUGGUCCACAUCUACCUGUCUACUGGAGUCAUUACAGGUUGGUCCACAUCUACCUGUCUACUGGAGUCAUUACAGGUUGGUCCACAUCUACCUCUCUACUGGAGUCAUUACAGGUUGGUCCACAUCUACCUCUCUACUGGAGUCAUUACAGGUUGGUCCACAUCUACCUCUC
Molecule: long non-coding RNA, 596 nt
Organism: Oncorhynchus tshawytscha (Chinook salmon)
Lineage: Eukaryota; Metazoa; Chordata; Actinopteri; Salmoniformes; Salmonidae
Exons: 3
Source: RefSeq, a predicted model, not a curated record